AAAAAACUAGAUUGCGACACUAGAGGCACAGGCUAAAGGGCUCACUCGGCAGGUUGAUCGCCUCACUGCGGAGGUUUAUAACCUCACGGUGAAAGUAGCUGACCUGGAGAAGCUCUGCUUCGAAUAACCACCAAAGGUCACGGGUUGGAAGGUUGCGGGGUGUUUCAGGUGAAGGAUUUUGUUUGUUUCUAUAUGUUAUUUGCGGAUACUUUAAGCCACGGGUAGUAGGACUUUAUGUCAAUUUUUAAUCCCGGAUGUAAACAGAUGUACGAUGUAUAGGACUUGAUGUCUUUUGCUAUUGAUUCACAGAUGUAAAAUAUGUUGAUUCACGGAUGUAAAACAAUGUAUCUCUCUAUAUAAACUAUGUCUUUCAGUUUGGUUAUAAAAUGUGCAUCACUUCUCUACUC
Molecule: long non-coding RNA, 407 nt
Organism: Brassica oleracea var. oleracea
Lineage: Eukaryota; Viridiplantae; Streptophyta; Magnoliopsida; Brassicales; Brassicaceae
Exons: 3
Source: RefSeq, a predicted model, not a curated record